GUAGAUGGGAUCUUGGACUGCUGCACCGUCCGCGCUUCAGUUGAAUGCGGAAUCAUUUUUUCUUGCUCGUUGCCGUCUGUAGGUGUUCUGGGCGGAUGCGUGUUCUGCUUGCGGCCCUUUAUAUUGUUAUUUUCUGGGAGUUUGAGUGACGCUCCGUCCCCAUCUGGUUGCGGAAGUGAAGCGCUUUCGUUCGUUACAUGCCCAUCGGCAGGUGGCGUUUAGAUUUGUGGGACUACCAAUCGCCCGGGUCAACGUUACCAGAAUAGCGGACGCCGGACAGGAACCAUCCGGCCGCUUUCGGGAGCAGGUGCUUCUCCCUGGCUUGAAGUCAGGUGUUCUGGGCGGAUGCGUGUUCUACUUGCGGCCCUUCAUAUUGUUAUUUUCUGGGAGUUUCAGUGACGCUCCGUCGCAAUCUGGUUGCGGAAGUGAAGCGCUUUCGUUCGUUAUCUGCCAAUCGGCAGGUGGCGUUUAGAUUUGUAGGACUACUACCAGAAUAGCGGACGCCGGACAGGAACCAUCCGGCCGCUUUCGGGAGCAGGUGAUUCUCCCUUGCUUGAAGCCAGUGAGCGUGCGGACAUGUUGGUGCCUGGAGUGGUGAAUGAAUGUCCAGUAAACGCUGUGAUUGACACAGGAUCCGCCGCUACAUUGUCAGAGGAUUUUGCCGACCGCCUAUAUAAGGAGCUGGAAAAGGAAACCUCUGACCAAGGCCCGAAGUCAAUUGGUGCCAACGGACAACCACCGCCGCCAGAGACGAGGAGGACACAGUUCGGGUAUUUGACAGUGCUCCGCCAGUUGGCGUGAUGGAAAGGCGAACCCCGCGUUCCCGCUAUCCGCCCCAGCUGUUUGGGAGUCCUGUGUGGCACGAGUAAGUGACUUCAGUGGUACUGACUGGAUUGGUUGUGUUCGAUAUUACAGUUAGUUUUUGGAAAAAUGUUGGUAGGGACUCCAAUUUGACCUGCACUCGUUUAGUCUAAAUUGUUACCUAUACUCGUAGUCUAAUUUAUUAAGUUACUUAUAACACGAGGACGUGUUCUUUUUUCCGUGUAAGCGGGGGAUAUGUCGUAUCCAUACUAUUGACACGUGCCUUUUAGGCCUCUACGUGACAUGUCUGCCUUAUUUAGGUGUCUAAUUAUUUAUUUAUCUCCCGUAAACGGAUUCCUAAUCGCCUUUAUUUUAUGUCUUCACACAAAGUCUGGCACCUUCCUUAUUUGUUAUACCCUGUUUUUCCUUAGCUGGCUUCCGCUCUUUGUGAUACAGUUUAUACACAUUAUUGCUAAGUUUUGGUACACUGCGGCAUGCGGGUGUACUAUGGUUCAUUAUUUGUCCUAUAGUUCGCAGCCUCCUGCCCGUAGUUAGAUAUUAUGGCAAUCGCCUUCUCUCUCUCUCUCUCUC
Long non-coding RNA from Sycon ciliatum, 1392 nucleotides. RefSeq lists it as uncharacterized. NCBI's taxonomy places the organism in Eukaryota, Metazoa, Porifera, Calcarea, Leucosolenida, Sycettidae. The record is from RefSeq and is a predicted model, not a curated record. The transcript is spliced from 3 exons.